GGGUUGUGAGGUUAAGCGACUAAGCGUACACGGUGGAUGCCCUGGCAGUCAGAGGCGAUGAAGGACGUGCUAAUCUGCGAAAAGCGCCGGCGAGGUGAUAUGAACCUUUGACCCGGCGAUGUCCGAAUGGGGAAACCCAGUGCAAUUCGUUGCACUAUCGUUAACUGAAUACAUAGGUUAACGAGGCGAACCGGGGGAACUGAAACAUCUAAGUACCCCGAGGAAAAGAAAUCAACCGAGAUUCCCCCAGUAGCGGCGAGCGAACGGGGAGCAGCCCAGAGUCUGAAUCAGCUUGUGUGUUAGUGGAAGCGUCUGGAAAGUCGCACGGUACAGGGUGACAGUCCCGUACACGAAAGCACACAGGCUGUGAACUCGAAGAGUAGGGCGGGACACGUGGUAUCCUGUCUGAAUAUGGGGGGACCAUCCUCCAAGGCUAAAUACUCCUGACUGACCGAUAGUGAACCAGUACCGUGAGGGAAAGGCGAAAAGAACCCCGGCGAGGGGAGUGAAAAAGAACCUGAAACCGUGUACGUACAAGCAGUGGGAGCACCUUCGUGGUGUGACUGCGUACCUUUUGUAUAAUGGGUCAGCGACUUAUAUUCUGUAGCAAGGUUAACCGUAUAGGGGAGCCGAAGGGAAACCGAGUCUUAACUGGGCGUUAAGUUGCAGGGUAUAGACCCGAAACCCGGUGAUCUAGCCAUGGGCAGGUUGAAGGUUGGGUAACACUAACUGGAGGACCGAACCGACUAAUGUUGAAAAAUUAGCGGAUGACUUGUGGCUGGGGGUGAAAGGCCAAUCAAACCGGGAGAUAGCUGGUUCUCCCCGAAAGCUAUUUAGGUAGCGCCUCGUGAACUCAUCUUCGGGGGUAGAGCACUGUUUCGGCUAGGGGGCCAUCCCGGCUUACCAACCCGAUGCAAACUACGAAUACCGAAGAAUGUUAUCACGGGAGACACACGGCGGGUGCUAACGUCCGUCGUGAAGAGGGAAACAACCCAGACCGCCAGCUAAGGUCCCAAAGUCAUGGUUAAGUGGGAAACGAUGUGGGAAGGCACAGACAGCCAGGAUGUUGGCUUAGAAGCAGCCAUCAUUUAAAGAAAGCGUAAUAGCUCACUGGUCGAGUCGGCCUGCGCGGAAGAUGUAACGGGGCUAAACCAUGCACCGAAGCUGCGGCAGCGACGCKUAUGCGUUGUUGGGUAGGGGAGCGUUCUGUAAGCCGUUGAAGGUGKSCUGUGAGGSWUGCUGGAGGUAUCAGAAGUGCGAAUGCUGACAUAAGUAACGAUAAAGCGGGUGAAAAGCCCGCUCGCCGGAAGACCAAGGGUUCCUGUCCAACGUUAAUCGGGGCAGGGUGAGUCGACCCCUAAGGCGAGGCCGAAAGGCGUAGUCGAUGGGAAACAGGUUAAUAUUCCUGUACUUGGUGUUACUGCGAAGGGGGGACGGAGAAGGCUAUGUUAGCCGGGCGACGGUUGUCCCGGUUUAAGCAUGUAGGCGGAACGAUUAGGUAAAUCCGGUCGUUUUUUAACGCUGAGGUGUGAUGACGAGGCACUACGGUGCUGAAGUAACAAAUGCCCUGCUUCCAGGAAAAGCCUCUAAGCAUCAGGUAACACGAAAUCGUACCCCAAACCGACACAGGUGGUCAGGUAGAGAAUACCAAGGCGCUUGAGAGAACUCGGGUGAAGGAACUAGGCAAAAUGGUGCCGUAACUUCGGGAGAAGGCACGCUGAUAUGUAGGUGAAGCCCCUGCGGGUGGAGCUGAAAUCAGUCGAAGAUACCAGCUGGCUGCAACUGUUUAUUAAAAACACAGCACUGUGCAAACACGAAAGUGGACGUAUACGGUGUGACGCCUGCCCGGUGCCGGAAGGUUAAUUGAUGGGGUUAGCGGCAACGCGAAGCUCUUGAUCGAAGCCCCGGUAAACGGCGGCCGUAACUAUAACGGUCCUAAGGUAGCGAAAUUCCUUGUCGGGUAAGUUCCGACCUGCACGAAUGGCGUAAUGAUGGCCAGGCUGUCUCCACCCGAGACUCAGUGAAAUUGAACUCGCUGUGAAGAUGCAGUGUACCCGCGGCAAGACGGAAAGACCCCGUGAACCUUUACUAUAGCUUGACACUGAACACUGGUCCUUGAUGUGUAGGAUAGGUGGGAGGCUUUGAAGCGUGGACGCCAGUCUGCGUGGAGCCGACCUUGAAAUACCACCCUUUAAUGGCUGGUGUUCUAACGUAGACCCGUWACCCGGGUUGCGGACAGUGUCUGGUGGGUAGUUUGACUGGGGCGGUCUCCUCCCAAAGAGUAACGGAGGAGCACGAAGGUUAGCUAAUCCUGGUCGGACAUCAGGAGGUUAGUGCAAUGGCAUAAGCUAGCUUGACUGCGAGAGUGACGGCUCGAGCAGGUGCGAAAGCAGGUCAUAGUGAUCCGGUGGUUCUGAAUGGAAGGGCCAUCGCUCAACGGAUAAAAGGUACUCCGGGGAUAACAGGCUGAUACUGUUCGGGUUGUCAUGCCAAUGGCACUGCCCGGUAGCUAAAUGCGGAAAAGAUAAGUGCUGAAAGCAUCUAAGCACGAAACUUGCCCCGAGAUGAGUUCUCCCUGACUCCUUGAGAGUCCUGAAGGAACGUUGAAGACUACGACGUUGAUAGGUCGGGUGUGUAAGCGCAGCGAUGCGUUGAGCUAACCGAUACUAAUGAACCGUGAGGCUUAACCUUACAACGCCGAAGGUGUUU
RNAcentral lists this ribosomal RNA (2709 nucleotides) under Enterobacter sp. UCD-UG_FMILLET. Its description in RNAcentral is "bacterial LSU rRNA". It matches the Rfam family "Bacterial large subunit ribosomal RNA". The record is from RNAcentral. Lineage: Bacteria; Pseudomonadati; Pseudomonadota; Gammaproteobacteria; Enterobacterales; Enterobacteriaceae.